UCAAUUUGUCAAUAAGUAUUAAAGAAUAUUGGCCAAUAAGUUAAAGAGGGUUCUUACAAAAAAUUAGUUAAAUAAUCUAGAUUGAGGUGCUGUUAGUACCGGUAUCUUACUUAUAUCGAUGCCAACUCUCAGUCUCACAAGGUUUACUGUGGUUUCCUGCCAGGAGAUAUAUCCCAUGUAUCACUUUUCAAUUUCAUAUGGAUGAUAAGUAAAUCUAGAUUGACAACAAACAGCAGAAUGCAAAUGAAUACAGAUGCCGAUAUGAGUAUGACAAAAUUAUGAAUCACAAAAAAUUUCCAACAGGAUAAAGUUUUGUAAUAAAGUUUGGUGUUUGUUUUUAUUUAAGCGCGUUCUUUUUCUUCCUCGCAUAGUAGAGUUUGGCUCUUCUCACUUUCUUCUUGUCCAGCACCUUUAUCUCCUUAAUGUUAGGUGAAUACCUGUCACACAUAUCCCAUAGCUCAGAUAUAAACACGUAUGUAAGAUGACC
RNAcentral lists this long non-coding RNA (487 nucleotides) under Cicer arietinum (chickpea). RNAcentral's name for it is "long non-coding RNA (CARI_LNC002055)". Lineage: Eukaryota; Viridiplantae; Streptophyta; Magnoliopsida; Fabales; Fabaceae. The record is from RNAcentral.